GUACUAGUAACAGUACACCCAAAGUCAUCAUACAUUGUGUCACACAAUCCAUCGAGCAUGUUGAGUACUACACGUCUGGAGUAUCAGUACACAGAGUACACACAGCAAUACUCAUGUCUCUACCUGGUGGGUGUCCAAUGUAAAAGUGCUGCGGCGCCCCCUGCUGGGGGCCAUGUUGGGGGUUGGAGCCCCCGCCCUGCUGGGGGGAGACGUAGUGCAGCAUGACGGGGGGCAGGCCGUGAGCUGCAGAGUGCUGUCCGAUGGAGGGGAAGCCGUGGGGCAGCGGCUGGUGGCCCGGCAGGCUGUAGCCCUGCAUGGCGUAGGAGGCCUGGGGGGAGCUGUGGCCCGGCUGCAUGUUGGGGGGGGGUGGGGCCUGCAGACCUCCAGAGUGGAACAUGGACUGAGGCUGAGGACCAGCCUGACUUGACUGGGGGGGGGGGGCGGCAGGUUAGAGAUUUAACAUUAUCCUUCAUCGUCGUAUUACAUCCUGACGGAAGAAGCUUCUGGCGUGAACUACCUGGUUGUGUCCUGGACUGGGAGCAGUGUGCUGGGGGGGGGCUGGUUCCCGGUCGGGGUGCCGGAGGGCUGGGGGUGGUGCAUGGCCCCAGAGUGGUGAGCGAAGGUCUGAGCUGGAGGAGGAAGGACAUGUAGAUUUAAUAAAAGUUUUCUGUGCCUUUUUCCUUAAAAAGGGGGGCAAACAAAAACCUGGAUCCUGCUUACCAUACAUGGCCUGCUGGGGCCCCUCAGCCUGGCCGGGGUACUGGGGGCCAGGAGGACCCAUCUGUUGGGGGGGCCCCCCGGACGUCAGCAUCCUCGCUCCCCCCUGAAGCAUCGAGUAAACUGGCUGCAAACAGAGAUUUGAUCCCUUGAAUUAGAGACUAACAGCUGGUCGUGAGCUGGAACGAGGUUACCUGUCCGUGGUAGUGGGGGGGCAGGGCCUGGAUCACCUGACCGUACUGCAGGUAGGACUGGGGGUACGGCGAGGCCACCAGGGGGGGGGCGGCGGCCGAGGCGGCGGCCGAGAUCAUGGAGGACGCCUGGGAGGUGUGGUGCUCCGGGCGCUGACCCCCCACCGGGCCUGGAAGGGAAAAACACACCAUCCCUGGGUAACAGUUCCCACAAUGCUUUGGGGGAUGAGGACAGGUAGGUCUCUCCCUGGAGGUUUUUAUCAGAAAUGAUGUCACAUAUCAGUUGAUCCAAACGUGACCCUUUUAUCCCCCCGUGUGACCGGACCCCCCGGACCCCCCCCGUGUGCGUACCUUUGGCUCUGGGGUAUUUGCCCUGGUUGACAGUCGACAUGGUGUACUGAUACAUGUGAGGAGCCUGAGGAGGAGACGAGUUUGUUAGUUUAAAUGUUCAUUUAAAUGAUCCGACGGAGCAUCGAUGGGUUUUUCCUGAGUGCUGCAACAAUAUAAAACACACCGAUGUCUGAACGCUGCUUGAACCAACGCUUUUUUGACUUCACAUGAUGGACAAUACAUGAAGAGCUCACAGAAUAAGUCUCUGUAAGAGCCGGAAGGGUUUGUAUCACUUCUUGGAAUAUUAAUCGUUUCAUUUACGUUGUAAAUGUAACAUAUACUGAGAGCAUUUGUGUCGGAUUGAAGCUCCCUGGGUCUCGAUUUAUUGGCGUCAUGUUGCAGAAGAGCUGCGUUUAUCUGCUGAGACGCUUUGCUGCGUAAAAUAAAGACAAAACGAGGAGAAUGAGAUGAUUCAUUCAUUCAGUCUGCAGCUCAUUGACAAACAAGGAAGGAACGCGGCUCCGCCCCCAGGUUACUGCGCCCCCAGGUUACUCCGCCCUCGGUUUACUGCGCGGAACACAUUGGAAAGUGUCGGCGUCGCGUACGGAGCCGAUGGACGAAGAGAGACGUGCUGCUCGUCGCCCUUAAAUCCAGGUGGGUGGUGAGGUUUUUUUGGCCAGGCAGUGCAUGUAUUUGUAUUUGUAUUUGUAUACACAUGUGUGUAUAGUUCAGACCUGGAUCUGGUGUCCCUGGAUGUGGAGGGGGGAGACGUAGGACAGGUAAUGUCCAGGUGGGUUGCCGUAGAUGGCUCCUCCCCCUGGCUGUCCCUGAGGAGCCAGGACCAAUGAGGGGCUGGGGGGCGUGGGUCGAGGGGGGGUGGGGGUCGGCGCCGGCUUCUGUCACAACGCACAGAGAGAGACGGAUCAACAAAGACCGACGAGUGAAGCUGAGCUUCAGCAGGACUCACCUGGACCGGGGGCACCUUCACGGGGAGGAACUCCUUGGCGUUGGGGUUCAGGGUGGAGUUCUUCACUUGGCUGCCAUGAAAAGACGUUCAGCAACAAAAAGCAAAUGUUAAGAAGGAGUUUGUGUCCCAGAGGCAAGCUAAGCUAAGCUAAGCUAAGCUAAGCUAACCCGCUACGACCUCCUGCUGCAGAGCUCUGAUUGGCCCAGACGCGUCUUUGUUCACGUCGAGCUCCAGCAGGAUGCCGCGGUUCGUUACUCACGCUGUGGCUGCGGCUUCGGGUCGCUCGCCUCGCUCUUCGCCGCCGGGGGGCGUCGGCUGCUGCCCCUCCGGCGCCGGACCCUCAGGCCCGGAGGAUACGCCUUGGUGGGGGUCUUGGGCGGAGGAGGAGGAGGCAGGUUUGGGCGGGGCGGGGGCGGCGCUGUGCUGAGGAGGCUCGGCGGAGGCGGGGCUUGCUGACGGACAGGAGGCGGGCUGCAGCUGAGAGACGGAGCGAUGAAGCGGUGAAUGAGUCAUAUGACAGUAAUGUUCUCACAUGAGGUACUUCUACACAGUCUGUGUACUAAUGCAGUACAUCAGAACAUCCUAACAGGAAACCUAUCUUGUACUAUUGUGUACGGAUCAUUUUAUGAUUAGAACACAUUGAUUCAUGUUUUACUAUUGAUCUGUGAUAAUUAAAGCGCACUGAUCAGCAACAUUAAUUCAAACAUAUUAAAGUGUUUCUGGUUCCUUCAUUGAGAAAACAGUUUAUGUUCUGACCCUUUGAAACACAAACACACUUAUCCAUGAAGUCUGAUGUACACAACUGCCCC
This is a long non-coding RNA of Gasterosteus aculeatus aculeatus (three-spined stickleback), 3014 nucleotides long. NCBI's taxonomy places the organism in Eukaryota, Metazoa, Chordata, Actinopteri, Perciformes, Gasterosteidae. The record is from Ensembl.